GAUGAAUGCUGGCGGCGUGCUUAACACAUGCAAGUCGAACGGAAAGGCUCCUGCUUGCAGGGGUACUCGAGUGGCGAACGGGUGAGUAACACGUGGGUGAUCUGCCCUGCACUUCGGGAUAAGCCUGGGAAACUGGGUCUAAUACCGGAUAGGACGAUGGUUUGGAUGCCAUUGUGGAAAGUUUUUCGGUGUGGGAUGAGCUCGCGGCCUAUCAGCUUGUUGGUGGGGUAAUGGCCUACCAAGGCGUCGACGGGUAGCCGGCCUGAGAGGGUGUACGGCCACAUUGGGACUGAGAUACGGCCCAGACUCCUACGGGAGGCAGCAGUGGGGAAUAUUGCACAAUGGGCGCAAGCCUGAUGCAGCGACGCCGCGUGGGGGAUGACGGCCUUCGGGUUGUAAACUCCUUUCGCUAGGGACGAAGCGCAAGUGACGGUACCUGGAGAAGAAGCACCGGCUAACUACGU
Molecule: ribosomal RNA, 464 nt
Filed under: uncultured bacterium
Lineage: Bacteria
Description: partial 16S ribosomal RNA
Rfam family: Bacterial small subunit ribosomal RNA
Source: RNAcentral